AUGGAAUGUCAUGAGUAAGGAACAGAGAGAGAGCCAAUAUCAUAAAAAGGGGGGGGGGGAGUCAGAAAUAAUGCUAAGGAGGCCUGAAAGAGAGAAGGGAUCCAAAUUAGAAAGAGCUUGAAAAAUUUUUUGGAUUGUUUUUUUUUCCCCCUGGAGGUAAUAGGGAGUCAUUGUAUUUGAUGGAGUAGGGGAGUGACAUGGUCUGCUCUCUAGAUAUCAAGUGUACUGUGGCUGUCUUUGCAAAGAACUGCAAGAUUCCUAACCCUGGAGAAAAAUAAUAGCAGGACUUUGGAUACAAAUUUUUUUCUAACCAAAGAAAAAGUUUCAAGUGUAUAUGAACCUCUGGGAAACUCAAUCUGGGCAGUUUUGAAUAGACAGUUUGUUUCUUUGAUCCAAAAGGAAAGAGAGAGGAGAUAUCUCACUAGAAGUACCACAUACAUAGGAGCACAAGAGCCAAGAGAUACUGAACUCACAAUUCAUGAUAGUCGAGAGAUGGAUACAGGAACUAGAAAGGGAUCAGUUGCAUCCUAG
Molecule: long non-coding RNA, 531 nt
Filed under: Monodelphis domestica (gray short-tailed opossum)
Lineage: Eukaryota; Metazoa; Chordata; Mammalia; Didelphimorphia; Didelphidae
Description: lncRNA (ENSMODG00000040014.1)
Source: RNAcentral